GAUGAACGCUGGCGGCGUGCCUAAUACAUGCAAGUCGAGCGAACAGAUGAGGAGCUUGCUCCUCUGACGUUAGCGGCGGACGGGUGAGUAACACGUGGAUAACCUACCUAUAAGACUGGGAUAACUUCGGGAAACCGGAGCUAAUACCGGAUAAUAUAUUGAACCGCAUGGUUCAAUAGUGAAAGACGGUUUUGCUGUCACUUAUAGAUGGAUCCGCGCCGCAUUAGCUAGUUGGUAAGGUAACGGCUUACCAAGGCAACGAUGCGUAGCCGACCUGAGAGGGUGAUCGGCCACACUGGAACUGAGACACGGUCCAGACUCCUACGGGAGGCAGCAGUAGGGAAUCUUCCGCAAUGGGCGAAAGCCUGACGGAGCAAGGCCGCGUGAGUGAUGAAGGUCUUCGGAUCGUAAAACUCUGUUAUUAGGGAAGAACAAAUGUGUAAGUAACUAUGCACGUCUUGACGGUACCUAAUCAGAAAGCCACGGCUAACUACGUG
This 497-nucleotide ribosomal RNA is filed under the name uncultured bacterium. Its description in RNAcentral is "partial 16S ribosomal RNA". It matches the Rfam family "Bacterial small subunit ribosomal RNA", at positions 28 to 507 of the family's 1533-position model. The record is from RNAcentral.